AUUGAACGCUGGCGGCAUGCCUUACACAUGCAAGUCGAACGGCAGCAUGAUCUAGCUUGCUAGAUUGAUGGCGAGUGGCGAACGGGUGAGUAAUACAUCGGAACGUGCCCUGUAGUGGGGGAUAACUAGUCGAAAGAUUAGCUAAUACCGCAUACGACCUGAGGGUGAAAGUGGGGGACCGCAAGGCCUCAUGCUAUAGGAGCGGCCGAUGUCUGAUUAGCUAGUUGGUGAGGUAAAGGCUCACCAAGGCGACGAUCAGUAGCUGGUCUGAGAGGACGAUCAGCCACACUGGGACUGAGAAACGGCCCAGACUCCUACGGGAGGCAGCAGUGGGGAAUUUUGGACAAUGGGCGAAAGCCUGAUCCAGCAAUGCCGCGUGUGUGAAGAAGGCCUUCGGGUUGUAAAGCACUUUUGUCCGGAAAGAAAUGGCUCUGGUUAAUACCUGGGGUCGAUGACGGUACCGGAAGAAUAAGGACCGGCUAACUACGUG
RNAcentral lists this ribosomal RNA (490 nucleotides) under uncultured bacterium. RNAcentral describes it as "partial 16S ribosomal RNA". It matches the Rfam family "Bacterial small subunit ribosomal RNA", at positions 30 to 507 of the family's 1533-position model. The record is from RNAcentral.